RNAcentral lists this ribosomal RNA (366 nucleotides) under Triticum aestivum (bread wheat). RNAcentral describes it as "partial small subunit ribosomal RNA". Lineage: Eukaryota; Viridiplantae; Streptophyta; Magnoliopsida; Poales; Poaceae. The record is from RNAcentral.
AUGAGGCCGUGGUGGAGCGGCUCUUCAGCGCUGUUCCAGACCGUUUCACGGAAAAUCGUCAACACCAUUGAGCAGUGGGGUGAUGUCUCCGCGAUGACGGUGCAAGAGGCGAUUGGGCGCCUCACCGCGUUCGAGCAGAACCAGCGCGGUCGUCGUCAGAAUGGUGGCGAUGAAGGCGAGAAGCUAAUGCUUGUUUCACGUGCCCAGCUAGAAGAGUUGAUCCUUAAAGAGAAGAAGAAGGGUGUGGGCUCCAGCAGCGGCAACAAGAAUGACGACCAGGACGGGCGUGGCGGUGGCCGCGGCCAGGACGGUAAGAAGAAGGAACGUCGUGGCAAGUUUGACAAGUCGAGGAUCACUUGCUUCUAG